Molecule: non-coding RNA, 365 nt
Organism: Prunus avium (sweet cherry)
Lineage: Eukaryota; Viridiplantae; Streptophyta; Magnoliopsida; Rosales; Rosaceae
Source: RefSeq, a predicted model, not a curated record
UAACUUAAGCCAGAUAGCAUAUAUUCUUCCUUGAAAUAAUCUGCAGUUUUCAGUUGUAGAAUUCUGGGGUGGCAUCUUGGUUUGAUGGCAUUGUUAUUCCUGAUAUUAUUUUUCUCAUGUUGCAGGCAGUGAGGGCCACUUGCUCGAGGAGGCUAAAUUUAUAAAUCUUUCACUCAGUUCCCUUGGAAAAUGUAUAAAUGCAUUGGCGGAAAACAGUCCACAUAUCCCUACGAGAGAUUCUAAGCUUACGAGGUUGCUUCGUGAUUCAUUUGGAGGCUCUGCGAGGACUUCACUUAUCAUAACAAUUGGGCCAUCAGCAAGGCACUAUGCAGAGACCACUAGCACAAUAAUGUUUGGACAACGGG